GGCGGACGUGGCCAAGUGGAUUAAGGCAGUGGAUUGGAAACCC
This 43-nucleotide transfer RNA is filed under the name Sphagnum capillifolium. RNAcentral's name for it is "partial tRNA-His". The record is from RNAcentral. Lineage: Eukaryota; Viridiplantae; Streptophyta; Sphagnopsida; Sphagnales; Sphagnaceae.